Molecule: ribosomal RNA, 253 nt
Filed under: uncultured bacterium
Lineage: Bacteria
Description: partial 16S ribosomal RNA
Rfam family: Bacterial small subunit ribosomal RNA
Source: RNAcentral
UACAGAGGUCCCAAGCGUUGUUCGGAUUCAUUGGGCGUAAAGGGUGCGUAGGCGGUCGGGUAAGUCUGAUGUGAAAUCUCACAGCUUAACUGUGAAACUGCAUUGGAUACUAUCCGGCUCGAGGAAUGGAGGGGAGACUGGAAUACUUGGUGUAGCAGUGAAAUGCGUGGAUAUCAAGUGGAACACCAGUGGCGAAGGCGAGUCUCUGGACAUUUCCUGACGCUGAGGCACGAAAGCCAGGGGAGCAAACGGG